CCUACGGGAGGCAUCAGUGAGGAAUAUUGGUCAAUGGCCGGGAGGCUGAACCAGCCAAGUCGCGUGAGGGAAGACGGCCCUACGGGUUGUAAACCUCUUUUGUCAAGGAGUAAGGUGCAGGUCGGGACCUGCUGUGAGAGUACCUGAAGAAAAAGCAUCGGCUAACUCCGUGCCAGCAGCCGCGGUAAUACGGAGGAUGCGAGCGUUAUCCGGAUUUAUUGGGUUUAAAGGGUGCGUAGGCGGAUGCACAAGUCAGCGGUAAAAUAGCGGGGCUCAACCCAGCUCCGCAGUUGAAACUGUGUGCCUUGAGUGCGCGAAGGGUAGGCGGAAUGCGUGGUGUAGCGGUGAAAUGCAUAGAUAUCACGCAGAACUCCGAUCGCGAAGGCAGCCUACCGGCGCGCAACUGACGCUGAUGCACGAAAGCGUGGGUAUCGAACAGGAUUAGAUACCCCAGUAGUC
RNAcentral lists this ribosomal RNA (459 nucleotides) under uncultured bacterium. Its description in RNAcentral is "partial 16S ribosomal RNA". It matches the Rfam family "Bacterial small subunit ribosomal RNA", at positions 338 to 795 of the family's 1533-position model. The record is from RNAcentral.